UACGAAGGGGGCUAGCGUUGCUCGGAAUCACUGGGCGUAAAGGGUGCGUAGGCGGGUCUUUAAGUCAGGGGUGAAAUCCUGGAGCUCAACUCCAGAACUGCCUUUGAUACUGAGGAUCUUGAGUUCGGGAGAGGUGAGUGGAACUGCGAGUGUAGAGGUGAAAUUCGUAGAUAUUAGGAGGAACACCAGUGGCGAAGGCGGCUCACUGGCCGGUACUGACGCUGAGACGGCGAAAGC
This 237-nucleotide ribosomal RNA is filed under the name uncultured bacterium. Its description in RNAcentral is "partial 16S ribosomal RNA". It matches the Rfam family "Bacterial small subunit ribosomal RNA", at positions 524 to 760 of the family's 1533-position model. The record is from RNAcentral.